This is a long non-coding RNA of Acipenser ruthenus (sterlet), 1051 nucleotides long. RefSeq lists it as uncharacterized. The record is from RefSeq and is a predicted model, not a curated record. The transcript is spliced from 2 exons. Lineage: Eukaryota; Metazoa; Chordata; Actinopteri; Acipenseriformes; Acipenseridae.
GUUGCAGUAAUCUAUUAAACACACUGUGAACAUAAUUUUGAAUUUAAACAAGCAAUGCUUGGUUGCUGCCUUUUUCAGAGUAAUGUUAGUUGCAGAUAUUAUAAAUAUUUUGUUAAGUGGAUCUUUCAAAGAAAUACAUACUGUAGUUCAUCUAUUACAUCAAUAAAAUUCAUCAUAACUUCAUCAUAAAACUAUAUGUCAAAUAGACAAACAUUUGGGCUAAUUAAUUAAUCUGAAGAAGGCAGUGGCAUUUUAAUUCUAGUCUUCAACCAUAACUUCAAACCGCUCAAUCAAAAGGUACUUCAUUGUCUGGUUUCCCAGAUCCCCAUUUGCACCAAUAACUAUUACUCUAGGUAAAGAAGAGGCAGAUGCAAGCCGAGGAUCAAGUCAGGGGGGGCUGCGCGAGGCUCUGGGGCAGGCAGAGUUGUUCACCAGAGGGCUAUCCUGGAGCAGAACCUUCGCUUUGGAUGCAGGACCUCUCACGUCCCUGGGUCUACUACUUCCAGCUACUGGAGAUGCUGGGGCUGCUGGCCACCCCAGAGGGAGUGCCGGAGGAGGCGUGAACCUGGACCAGCAUCCUGCUGCGAUAGUGUAUGCCAAACGAGGAGAGCAGGGUCCACUCUCACUGGUGUGCUGCUCUGCAGCAGCUCCUGUCUAGUUUAAACCUGUCCUCUACUUAAAUUAUUCUGUUGGGAGGCAGUUUAAUUCCCUCUAAUACUGUGCAGAGACAUACAAACAUUUUUGUGUUACAAUUUCUAGUACGGUUACAAAUUAUAAGGUAUUUGACCAAAAUGUUUAUUCACAUUUAGUAACCCAGAUAAGCUAAAUGGUUGUUUGUAAAUUGCUACAUAUGUAAGGCUAUGCUAAUUCACCGAAAUCACAUAUUUAAUUAAUUUUUUUUAUCUAAACAUUCUAUAUUCCAGCUGCAAUUACACAGAGCUUAAAUCAAACUUUUUUUUUUUUAUUCCAUUUCCUUUGGUUUUAUUUUAUAAAAAGUCUGUACCUGUUUUGACCUACUUCUUCAAUGAUUAAACUAUCUGUACAAGCUUUA